RNAcentral lists this ribosomal RNA (497 nucleotides) under uncultured bacterium. Its description in RNAcentral is "partial 16S ribosomal RNA". It matches the Rfam family "Bacterial small subunit ribosomal RNA", at positions 28 to 507 of the family's 1533-position model. The record is from RNAcentral.
GAUGAACGCUGGCGGCGUGCCUAACACAUGCAAGUCGAGCGGCCGGACGUGAAUCUUUCUUCUCUGAUUUUAGCGUCGCACGGGUGUGUAAAAUGUGGCUAACUCACCUCUAUGACUGGGAUUACUUCGGGAAACCUUACCUAAUUCCGGCUUAUAUCUUUCACCUCAUGGUUCAAAAGUGAAAGACGUCCUUGCUGUCACUUAUCGAUUGUUCCGCGCUGCAUUAGCUAGUUGGUAAGGUAACGGCUUACCAAGGCCACGAUGCAUAGCCGACCUGAGAGGGUGAUCGGCCACACUGGAACUGAGACACGGUCCAGACUCCUACGGGAGGCAGCAGUAGGGAAUCUUGCGCAAUGGGCGAAAGCCUGACGGAGCAACGCCGCGUGAGUGAUGAAGGUCUUCGGAUCGUAAAACUCUGUUAUUAGGGAAGAACAUAUGUGGAAGUAACUGUGCACAUCAUGACGGUACCUAAUCAGAAAGCCACGGCUAACUACGUG